GUCAGAAAUGCAGAUUUUAUAUUGUCUGACAUGGAUCAGAUCAUUGUGUAUUGUAUAAUUAUUAUGUAAGAUAUUUUAAUAUAUUUGACAUGGGUCAUCACAUAAUUGAUAACUUUCAAUUAUAUCCAUAACAAAUAGAGAACAUAUAUACCUUUAAUACAUCUUGUAUGUUAGGUUAUGCAUUAGAUAAUGUAUAUUGUGCUACUGCCCGGUUUAGGACUAGCUACUGGACAUGAGUAGUGUUAGGGUAUACCUUGACAAGUGACUUGUGACAUGGACCGAUACGAUUGGUUGGAUUCCAUCUGGUAAAGCAUGUUUUUAGCUGUGAGCUGUAAGUCAGGCAGUUGUACAUUAGAUACCCGGGUAUGGUGGUAUGAAGAAGGUAAAAGAGACAAGCACAUAUUGAAGUAUUUUGGUUGAGAAUUGAAUCCCAGAGAAUUGACCAGGAAACAUAUAAUCAAAGAACCUAUGUG
Molecule: long non-coding RNA, 473 nt
Organism: Mizuhopecten yessoensis (Yesso scallop)
Lineage: Eukaryota; Metazoa; Mollusca; Bivalvia; Pectinida; Pectinidae
Exons: 2
Source: RefSeq, a predicted model, not a curated record